Molecule: long non-coding RNA, 2456 nt
Filed under: Sus scrofa (pig)
Lineage: Eukaryota; Metazoa; Chordata; Mammalia; Artiodactyla; Suidae
Description: lncRNA (ENSSSCG00035025815.1)
Source: RNAcentral
GGACUUCCCGUGUGGCUCACAACAUAACUACUCGGCGUUGCUUCUACGGCUAGGGGUCUAAUCGGAACUGUAGCCACCGGCCUACACCAGAGCCACAGCAACGCGGGAUCCGAUCCGCGUCUGCAACCUACACCACAGCUCACAGCACCACAGCUCACAGCAACGCCGGAUCGUUAACCCACUGAGCAGGGGCAGGGACCGAACCGGCAACCUCAUGGUUCCUAGUCGGAUUUGUUAACCACUGCGCCACGAUGGNUUUUUUUUUGUCUUUUUGCUAUUUCUUUGGGCCGCUCCCAAGGCAUAUGGAGGUUCCCAGGCCAGGGGUCGAAACGGAGCUGUAGCCACUGGCCUACGCCAGAGCCACAGCAACGCGGGAUCCGUAGAGACUUUCUAUACACUAGGAACAUUUGGAGCCUCUCAGGAGUAGGAAACCCCAUUUGCAGCAGCGUGGAAGAUCCAAAAUACUUUGCGAUCAAUUUAAGGAGAUAUUCAAAAACCUAUAGUAAUGAAUAUUUGAAAUGUACUCUACCUUAAUCAGAGUAACACUUAAGCAGUAUUAGAGUUGGUUCAAUGCCUCCAAUGAGUUCAUUACUUGUUAUAACAAGGUCUUUCAUACCCUUCCAAACAGGCCAAGAAUUUCAUGAGAAUUUUGGGGUAGGAAGGGGUCUUGUGUAAAAAUGAACAUUUGUAGUUGAUACUCUCUUUCUGAAUCUUCUUUGUCUAUGUAGUAUUAGGCAGGUCUUGUUUUCUUCUGCUUUCAUGAAGAUUUUUCCUUUGUGAAGUGUUCUGAAAGAAUUGUGUAUACUUGUCUGAUUGUCUGCUUUCAUCUUCUGAAUGUAAAUGCUGAUAAGACAAGGAAUUUGCUGGCUUUGCCACUACAACAGGACGAACACUUGGAUGAAUGAUAGAAUGAAUAAGAAAACUCCUGGGUAUAAUUCUCCUUUGCAGAUUACCACCUUUGGCUAACAGAGAAUGAGUUCAAAAUUCAGAUUAGAGGUCCUAUGAAUAAUAAUUAUGCCGUUUCUUUGUAAGGCAGUAUCUCCUGAGAUUGACCUUAGCAACUCCCAAUGCUGGGUGUGGGCCUCAUAUGUCACUAGGGCUCAGAUUGCACAAAUGACUCACCAAAAUCACAUAGACACCACACACACACACACACACACACCCCUACCCCUGAGGCCUCAAAUCAAGGUCUUUGUCUCCAGAAUAUAUAUGCCAAGAGGACACAUGCCUCUGUGUCCUAUCCGCCAGUAUACUCUGGAUAAAUAAUAUGCAUAUAUUUGUUGAAGAAAUAACUGAAGAAACUCCUGGAUACAAUUCUCUUUCUGGGACUAGGGCAAAUUCUAAAACAUAGCAGCUUCUAGCCUCUUGCCCUCUCUGGCUUGUCUGUUCUGGCAUCAGGAGAGGCCAGUGCUUUGCUCCUUCUCCCCUCCCCCCGACCCCUUCCCUGGAGCCUGGGUCCCCCAGCCUCUAGUCCAGGAGCUGCACCCUCAGCCCAGGCAGACUCUUCUCCCAGCUUCCGCCAAGGCUUCACAGGGACUAAGUUUCGGCUUCUUCAGCUUGGUGUCAGAAACCUGUUAGAAACUUGCAGAGUCUCAGCUCCCAGUGGGGCCGAACCAGAAGCCACAUUUGAGCACUGUCCCGGGGUCCCAUUAGCAUUUGAGGGCUCUGAGCUGCCUUUAUCAAGCAUUCCGAUUUCUAUUUUGCUGGGGAAAUACCUGGGCCUUGGGGCCCCAUCAGCCUACUGGUCCUCCUGAAGCACUGCGAUCUCUUACUGGCGGUUUUGAGAGCUGGCUUUGGAAAGAGAACCAACGUCAGGAUCCUGUGAGUCACCCACUUGGCAAACAUUUAUUAAGCACUUAUGAUGUGCAAGGCCCAUGACAGGUCCUGAGGACACAAACAUGAUUAACACAGUGUAUAUCUCCCCUGCUGAAAAAAGCAGAGACACAGACUCCAUAGGUUGAUAAUAAAUGCUAGUCAGAAAGAGCACUUCUGGUAACAAAGUGUGAUGAUGUUGAAUAGGGAUGCGGGUGUUUAGAAAGAGUGAUUCAGGAAGUUCUCGCAGAGGAGUAGGUGUUUUUUCUAAGUCCCAGAGGUGGAAUGAGGAGCCAGCUCUGUUCUGCAUUGCGUUGAAGUGGAGGAGAGGGUGGGGCAGGGUGAGCAAAUGAUUUUUCACCUGAGGAAAAACACAAGUAUGUAGACCCAGCCCCAGGAAAGACGACUUGCACUGGACGAAGGAGAGAGGUCUGCUUGUGGCUUGAGGGCACAAUGAAGAGGGAGAGACAAAAAAGAUGGAAUUCUCUGUCUUGGCACAACGGGAACCAGUCCAACUAGUAUCCAUGAGGAUGAGGGUUGGAUCCCUGGCCUUGCUUAGUGGAUCAGGGAUCUGGUGUUUCUGUGAGCUGCGGCUCAGAUUUGGUCCCUGGCCUGGGAACUUACCUGUGCUGAGGGUGCAGCCC